RNAcentral lists this ribosomal RNA (424 nucleotides) under uncultured bacterium. Its description in RNAcentral is "bacterial SSU rRNA". It matches the Rfam family "Bacterial small subunit ribosomal RNA", at positions 356 to 795 of the family's 1533-position model. The record is from RNAcentral.
GGGGAAUUUUCCGCAAUGGGCGAAAGCCUGACGGAGCAAUGCCGCGUGGAGGAUGACAGCCUGUGGGUCGUAAACUCCUUUUCUCAGAGAAGAAGAUCUGACGGUAUCUGAGGAAUAAGCAUCGGCUAACUCCGUGCCAGCAGCCGCGGUAAGACGGAGGAUGCAAGCGUUAUCCGGAAUGAUUGGGCGUAAAGCGUCUGUAGGUGGUUUAUUAAGUCUACUGUUAAAUAUCAGGGCUUAACCCUGAAUCGGCAGUAGAAACUCAUAAGCUUGAGUACGGUAGGGGCAGAGGGAAUUCCCGGUGUAGCGGUGAAAUGCGUAGAGAUCGGGAAGAACACCGAUGGCGAAAGCACUCUGCUGGGCCGAAACUGACACUGAGAGACGAAAGCUAGGGGAGCAAAAGGGAUUAGAUACCCCUGUAGUC